GGUGACAGCUGCAAAGUAUCUGUUGGAUUUCUUUGUCAUAUAUAGAGGACAAUGGAGAACUGCGCUGCCCUGUGUCGUUCCGUUGAGUGGAGCUGGUCUUCCUGGGUUUGAACUUCCACGCCUGCUGUAACUACGUUAUUCUCUGCCAGUUCAUUGCAUCCACAACGGUGGUAACUUGUCUGCCUGAAGCCUUUUACCUCGUCUUUGAAAAGUCAUCCCUUGAAAAGUGUAUCCCUGAGGAGUCAGGAGCUCACAACCAGGCUCCCAGUGGAUUCAGGUACCACCCUGCCACUCACGCGCCCUCACGCGCCCGCCCACAGACACCACCCAGAUUCACCAGCAGUGUUCAGGACGCCCCCAUUUCCUCACAGUCUGUCACUGCUCAACACUCACUCGCAAACAAGACUUUAUAGACUUAUAGCCUUUAUAUUGGUCACAGUCUGAUCUUUGGGUCCAAAAAUUAUAAAAUUAUGACAGAUUUAAGA
This is a long non-coding RNA of Pundamilia nyererei, 485 nucleotides long. RefSeq lists it as uncharacterized. The transcript has 3 exons. The record is from RefSeq and is a predicted model, not a curated record. NCBI's taxonomy places the organism in Eukaryota, Metazoa, Chordata, Actinopteri, Cichliformes, Cichlidae.